Molecule: ribosomal RNA, 467 nt
Filed under: Acanthamoeba sp.
Lineage: Eukaryota; Discosea; Longamoebia; Acanthamoebidae
Description: SSU rRNA
Rfam family: Eukaryotic small subunit ribosomal RNA
Source: RNAcentral
GGCCCAGAUCGUUUACCGUGAAAAAAUUAGAGUGUUCAAAGCAGGCAGAUCCAAUUUUCUGCCACCGAAUACAUUAGCAUGGGAUAAUGGAAUAGGACCCUGUCCUCCUAUUUUCAGUUGGUUUUGGCAGCGCGAGGACUAGGGUAAUGAUUAAUAGGGAUAGUUGGGGGCAUUAAUAUUUAAUUGCCAGAGGUGAAAUUCUUGGAUUUAUGAAAGAUUAACUUCUGCGAAAGCAUCUGCCAAGGAUGUUUUCAUUAAUCAAGAACGAAAGUUAGGGGAUCGAAGACGAUCAGAUACCGUCGUAGUCUUAACCAUAAACGAUGCCGACCAGCGAUUAGGAGACGUUGAAUACAAAACACCACCGUCGGUGCGGUCGUCCUUGGCGUCUCGGUCCUUCACGGGGCCGGGGCGCGGGGGUGGCUUAGCCCGGUGGCACCGGUGAAUGACUCCCCUAGCAGCUUGUGAGA